This 441-nucleotide ribosomal RNA is filed under the name uncultured bacterium. Its description in RNAcentral is "partial 16S ribosomal RNA". It matches the Rfam family "Bacterial small subunit ribosomal RNA", at positions 339 to 795 of the family's 1533-position model. The record is from RNAcentral.
CUACGGGGUGCUCCAGUGGGGAAUAUUGGGCAAUGGGCGCAAGCCUGACCCAGCAACGCCGCGUGAGGGAAGAAGGUUUUCGGAUUGUAAACCUCUGUCCUUGGGGACGAAGAAGUGACGGUACCCAAGGAGGAAGCUCCGGCUAACUACGUGCCAGCAGCCGCGGUAAUACGUAGGGAGCAAGCGUUGUCCGGAAUUACUGGGCGUAAAGGGUGCGUAGGCGGCAUAUUAAGUCAGGUGUGAAAUACUCGGGCUCAACCCGGGGGCUGCAUUUGAAACUGAUAUGCUUGAGUGUGAGAGAGGAAAGUGGAAUUCCUAGUGUAGCGGUGGAAUGCGUAGAUAUUAGGAGGAACGCCAGUGGCGAAGGCGACUUUCUGGCUCAUAACUGACGCUGAGGCACGAAAGCGUGGGGAGCAAACAGGAUUAGAUACCCGGGUAGUC